GAUGAAGAACGUAGCGAAAUGCGAUAAGUAAUGUGAAUUGCAGAAUUCAGUGAAUCAUCGAAUCUUUGAACGCACAUUGCGCCCACCAGUAUUCUGGCGGGCAUGCCUGUUCGAGCGUCAUUUCAACCAUCAAGCCCCCGGCUUGUGUUGGGGACCUGCGGCUGCCGCAGGCCCUGAAAACCAGUGGCGGGCUCGCUAGUCACUCCGAGCGUAGUAAUACAUCUCGCUCAGGGCGUGCUGCGGGUUCCGGCCGUUAAAAAGCCUUAUUUACCCAAGGUUGACCUCGGAUCAGGUAGGAAGACCCGCUGAACUUAAGCAUAUCAAUAAGCGGAAGA
RNAcentral lists this unclassified non-coding RNA (335 nucleotides) under soil metagenome. Its description in RNAcentral is "partial contains 5.8S ribosomal RNA, internal transcribed spacer 2, and large subunit ribosomal RNA". The stretch from base 1 to 120 matches the Rfam family "5.8S ribosomal RNA", at positions 35 to 154 of the family's 154-position model. The record is from RNAcentral.